CUGAGAUGAGAGUAAUAGUAGGCAUAGAGACGGUGAGGGUGGUAGUAGAUUGACUGUUGCAAUGGUAAUGGGGUGAUGGUAAUAGUAUGAGCUGUAGUUGUGAUAGAGGCGGAGGCGACGGUGAUGGUGGUGGUGGUGGUAGCCGAGGCGGUCAGGGAUGACGGUGAUAGUAAGUGAUGCGAAAGACAGUAUUGAUGGCGGUGGCGUCAGAAGUCUGAAUGGUUUGUAUAUGGUAGUUGUGGUGGCGAUGGUGGUGGUGGUCUUGAAAGAGAGAAAGAGAAAGAGGUUAGACAGAAAAGAUAAUUGUACUGACCCCCGAAUGGGAAGA
Molecule: long non-coding RNA, 328 nt
Organism: Octopus sinensis (East Asian common octopus)
Lineage: Eukaryota; Metazoa; Mollusca; Cephalopoda; Octopoda; Octopodidae
Exons: 3
Source: RefSeq, a predicted model, not a curated record